AGCUUAAUAGUUUAUUACAAAAAUAGUUGUAUGUGGGUCAACAGAAGAAGAAGCUUAAUUUAUUUUUGUUU
This 71-nucleotide transfer RNA is filed under the name Philometra sp. HZ-2022. RNAcentral's name for it is "tRNA-His". The record is from RNAcentral. Lineage: Eukaryota; Metazoa; Nematoda; Chromadorea; Rhabditida; Philometridae.